GAUGAACGCUGGCGGCGUGCCUAAUACAUGCAAGUCGAGCGAACGGACGAGGAGCUUGCUUCUCUGAUGUUAGCGGCGGACGGGUGAGUAACACGUGGAUAACCUACCUAUAAGACUGGGAUAACUUCGGGAAACCGGAGCUAAUACCGGAUAAUAUUUUGAACCGCAUGGUUCAAAAGUGAAAGACGGUCUUGCUGUCACUUAUAGAUGGAUCCGCGCUGCAUUAGCUAGUUGGUAAGGUAACGGCUUACCAAGGCAACGAUGCAUAGCCGACCUGAGAGGGUGAUCGGCCACACUGGAACUGAGACACGGUCCAGACUCCUACGGGAGGCAGCAGUAGGGAAUCUUCCGCAAUGGGCGAAAGCCUGACGGAGCAACGCCGCGUGAGUGAUGAAGGUCUUCGGAUCGUAAAACUCUGUUAUUAGGGAAGAACAUAUGUGUAAGUAACUGUGCACAUCUUGACGGUACCUAAUCAGAAAGCCACGGCUAAUUACGUG
This 497-nucleotide ribosomal RNA is filed under the name uncultured bacterium. RNAcentral's name for it is "partial 16S ribosomal RNA". It matches the Rfam family "Bacterial small subunit ribosomal RNA", at positions 28 to 507 of the family's 1533-position model. The record is from RNAcentral.